This 1130-nucleotide long non-coding RNA is filed under the name Manihot esculenta (cassava). Its description in RNAcentral is "long non-coding RNA (MESC_LNC010347)". The record is from RNAcentral. Lineage: Eukaryota; Viridiplantae; Streptophyta; Magnoliopsida; Malpighiales; Euphorbiaceae.
UUAACAGUUCAAGGGACGACUUUAGCGGAGUAGAAAACGGCAGCUAGCAAUCUGCGACAGCCUCAAGGCAAGCAAAUCGGACUGCGAAGUGAAGGUCGCAGAAGCGUGGUUGAGUGGCUUAGCGAUGGAUCCAAAUUCUCCUUUGCCUUGAAUUUUUCCCUACAACUGAAGCCGACAACUUAUUUGAAGUUGUAGAAUGAGUCCGAUCAUCUUUUCCACUCGAAAUUCGAGGGGAGAAUGGGGAUUGAAUUGGAUCUCAACGUAUCACUUUAAGGAAUGUAUUGCAAAGAGAAAGUUAGAGAGAAGGAGAAAGAAGAAAGAGAAUUUGCGUAGGGAGAGUUUCCAUUUCAGAUGAACUUAUCUGAUAUUCUCUGGAUCAUGAUCGCUUAAAAUGCUUUUCAAUUUUCAUAGAGUUACGAAUUACAAAGAUCUAAAUUAAAGACCAGCAAAAGUACAGGUAAAUUUUAUUAACAACGAUAAAUUGAUCUUCCCCCUUCAGCCGUUUCUAAAAGGAACAAUUAAAAAGAAAUUGCAAAUACCCAAGUGCCUACUUCUUUUUAAGGCAAUGAUAUAAUUGCAUUAACACCCAAAAUGGGCUACGACAGGAAGUACAUCUGCAGAUUGAACUUAUUAAAGAAAUUUAAAUCUCUCAAGGCGUUAGCAGCCAUUUCGCACUAUAAACACGGUUAAAAGAGACACGUUAAUUUAGUGAUGGUGUGGAUGGGGAUCUCCCGGAGGAAUAGAGCACUUGCGCCUGGCAGAGUCUUGAUCCCCCAGAUCUCUAGCCGAUGAAAAAUUAAGCAGCCCAAAGUUGAUAUUUCCCUUGGCGUUUUCCACCAAUGCUUGAAUUGAUCCGAUUAUGCUCUUGUUCUCCUCUUUGUCUGGAUUAAGGUGGUGGGUUGCUGACCAUGAAAAUGAAAGAAAUAUCAGACACAGAGAAAUUCUAAACCUGGCCAUCACAAAAUGAUAUUGACGCUCCCUUUUUGAAGAAUGUGAAGUAGAACUAGCUAGGUAGCCUGUUCUGAAUCGCUGAUAUAAUAAACAAGUUCACUGAAGGAAACUGAACCAAAUAACAUACAAUUCCCAUUGGUAGUUUAUGCACAUAAUGUCUUGGUGGUGGAUGAUUGGAC